GGUCCCUUCAACCCAAACUCUUCUCUGAUUCUAUGAAUUUAAGCAUUGGUUCCAUUGGUUUCUGCUCUGACAAUUCCCAGGCCAAGCACACACAAAGUAAAACUCCAAGAACUAAAGGAACAGGACACAAUCCCAGCAAAUGAAGUCUCACACUGCUACUGAAGUGUUGGCACAUCCAAAACCUCUCCGUGAUCCACACGGCAUUACCAUUUGGUGUGAUUUGGCAUGAAUGGCUAUUCAUUAACUCAGCUGCAGCUCAGUGAAAAAGAGGACAUGGCAUGAGCAGGAGCAGCAGCAGAUUGGCUCUAACAGUUGGAAUUCAGAGGCAGGCCUGGAGCCCUGGAAAAGGGGAUGCUCCGGGUGCUGGGCAGGAGGCUCCGGCCUCUCCCGAGCAGGGAUCUGGCUCCUGGGACUUGUUCCCUGCAGCUCCCGGCUCAGAACAUUGCCCGGCACAAAGCCCCGGCUUCAGUAAUGCCGGAUCCUGCAGAGCCCGGCGCUGCUCUCCCCUCCCCUGGCAGCUCCCAUGUACCACAGGUGGUUUAGCUUUCUCUUUAGGUGUCUCAAAAUGAGCUUCAGCUCUCAGCUUAAGGAACCAGAGAGUUUCAGGCCAAGCUUUACAAAAUGAUGCCUCAUAUCCCAGGAGAAGGGAUGUGGCCAGUGCUGCAGCUCUUGGGACUGAGACAGGCAUCUGGCCUGGCUCAGCACCAGUGUGGCAGCAGGGCCAGGGCAGUGAUUGUCCCCCUGCGCUGGGCACUGGUGAGGCUGCACCUCAAAUCUUGUGUCAGUUCUGGGCUCCUCACUCCAAGAGUGACAUUGAGGUGCUGGAGCAGGGCCAGAGAAGGGCACCGGAGCUGGUGCAGGGCCUGGAGCAUGAGUGAGUUAAAAGUUCCUUACACCAAGCAUGGUAAAACACUGGCACAGGCUGCCCAAAGAGGUGGUGGAUGCUCCAUCCCUGGAGACAGCCAAGGCCAGGCUGGAUAUGGUUCUGAGCAACCUGCUCUAGUUGGAGAUGUCCCUGCCCAUUGCAGGGCUUGGACUGGAUGAGCUUUGGGGGUUCCUUCCAACCCAAACUGCUCUGUGAGUCUGUGAACUGAUCAACCAGCAGGAGAUGCUGAUGCCAUCACCAGGGCACUGGGGCCAUGCUCAGCUGAUCCAGUAACAGUGGGGAAGGAGGGAGUGAAACCCCCAAGUAGCCAAAACUAGCUCGACCCGACUCUUGCCCGGGUGGUUCAGCUCCAGCACAUCACCCAUGGGUGGCAUUCAGACAGCAUGCUGAGCACACAGACCCCUCAGAAGCUCCUGAGGUCCUGCAGGUUCUGCUGCCCAAGACCUGUGCACGCAUCCAGAGCCAGUGCCCAGUGACUGGAGACACCGGGGUUCAUUUAACACCUUCGGUUCUGUCUCGUGCUGAUACCCCACAGUUAGAGCUCAGCCAAAGCUCCCUUGAGGAUUGUUUCCUACUUACUGAGCAGGAUGUGAAAGCAAAUCUCUCCUCUCUGCUUGGCUUCUGCCGCUCGGGCUGCCUCUAACAAAGGUCCCUCAGGUUCCUCCCUUCAGCUGAAACAGCAACAAAAGGAUUUGCAUAAGAAAAA
This is a long non-coding RNA of Strigops habroptila (Kakapo), 1592 nucleotides long. The record is from Ensembl. NCBI's taxonomy places the organism in Eukaryota, Metazoa, Chordata, Aves, Psittaciformes, Psittacidae.